Molecule: ribosomal RNA, 919 nt
Filed under: uncultured fungus
Lineage: Eukaryota; Fungi
Description: eukaryotic LSU rRNA
Rfam family: Eukaryotic large subunit ribosomal RNA (bases 593-919)
Source: RNAcentral
GGAAGGAUCAUUACCGAAUUGUCAACACGAGUUGUUGCUGGUCCUCAAAACGGGGGCACGUGCACGCUCUGUUCACACAUCCACUCACACCUGUGCACCCUCUGUAGUUCCGUGGCAUGGGGGACUCUGUCCUCCUGUUGUGGUCCUACGUCUUUACAUACACUCUGUAACAAAGUCUCAUGGAAUGCAUGACGCGUUUAACGCAAUACAAUACAACUUUCAGCAACGGAUCUCUUGGCUCUCGCAUCGAUGAAGAACGCAGCGAAAUGCGAUAAGUAAUGUGAAUUGCAGAAUUCAGUGAAUCAUCGAAUCUUUGAACGCACCUUGCGCCCUUUGGCUAUUCCGAAGGGCAUGCCUGUUUGAGUAUCGUGAACACCUCAACUCUCAUGGUUUGCCGUGAUGAGCUUGGACUUUGGGGGUCUUGCUGGCCUUUGGUCGGCUCCUCUCAAACGGAUCAGCUUUCCAGUGUUUGGUGGCGUCACGGGUGUGAUAACUAUCUACGCCUGUGGUUUUCUGCCAGAUAACCUUCAGUGAUGGAGGUUCGCUGGGGCUCAUAAAUGUCUCUCUUCAGUGGAGACAGCUUUUGGACGUUUGAUCUCAAAUCAGGUAGGACUACCCGCUGAACUUAAGCAUAUCAAUAAGCGGAGGAAAAGAAACUAACAAGGAUUCCCCUAGUAACUGCGAGUGAAGCGGGAAGAGCUCAAAUUUAAAAUCUGGCGUCCUCCGGUCGUCCGAGUUGUAGUCUGGAGAAGCGUUUUCCGUGUUGGACCGUGUGUAAGUCCCUUGGAACAGGGCGUCGUAGAGGGUGAGAAUCCCGUCUUUGACACGGACUACCAAUGCUUUGUGAUGCGCUCUCAAAGAGUCGAGUUGUUUGGGAAUGCAGCUCAAAAUGGGUGGUAAAUUCCAUCUAAAGCUAAAU